CCUGGUUGCCAUGGUGGAGAGGUCAUACCCGUUCCCAUCCCGAACACGGAAGUCAAGCUCUCCUACGCCGAUGAUACUGCUCCUUCGCGGGAAAGUAGGUAGUAGCCAGGCU
RNAcentral lists this ribosomal RNA (112 nucleotides) under Treponema pallidum subsp. pallidum str. Nichols. Lineage: Bacteria; Pseudomonadati; Spirochaetota; Spirochaetia; Treponematales; Treponemataceae. The record is from RNAcentral.